RNAcentral lists this ribosomal RNA (419 nucleotides) under uncultured ammonia-oxidizing beta proteobacterium. RNAcentral's name for it is "bacterial SSU rRNA". It matches the Rfam family "Bacterial small subunit ribosomal RNA", at positions 197 to 597 of the family's 1533-position model. Lineage: Bacteria; Pseudomonadati; Pseudomonadota; Betaproteobacteria. The record is from RNAcentral.
UGGAGGAAAGCAGGGGAUCGCAAGACCUUGCGCUUUUGGAGUGGCCGAUGCCUGAUUAGCUAGUUGGUGGGGUAAGAGCCUACCAAGGCGACGAUCAGUAGUUGGUCUGAGAGGACGACCAGCCACACUGGGACUGAGACACGGCCCAGACUCCUACGGGAGGCAGCAGUGGGGAAUUUUGGACAAUGGGCGAAAGCCUGAUCCAGCAAUGCCGCGUGAGUGAAGAAGGCCUUCGGGUUGUAAAGCUCUUUCAGUCGAGAAGAAAAGGUUGUGACUAAUAAUCACAACUCAUGACGGUAUCGACAGAAGAAGCACCGGCUGACUACGUGCCAGCAGCCGCGGUAAUACGUAGGGUGCGAGCGUUAAUCGGAAUUACUGGGCGUAAAGGGUGCGCAGGCGGCUUUGUAAGUCAGAUGUGA